This is a long non-coding RNA of Gasterosteus aculeatus aculeatus (three-spined stickleback), 1805 nucleotides long. NCBI's taxonomy places the organism in Eukaryota, Metazoa, Chordata, Actinopteri, Perciformes, Gasterosteidae. The record is from Ensembl.
AAUGGUUGAAUGCACUUAUUGUACGUCGCUUUGGAUAAAAGCGUCAGCUAAAUGACAUGUAAUGUAAUGUAAUGAAUAAAAAGAGAUUACUAGCCUGGCACAGCCAUCCCCACUACUAUAUCCACACUACUAUAUCAACACUUGAUUCCUGGCACAUAUUUGUUUAGCUUUACUAGUGGUUUGCAAAAGUAUUAAUCGAGUCUUCACACUUUGUUUUAAUUUGAAAUAUCACAGAUAUUCCAUUUAUUUAUUUUCAAACAAAAAUAACAUCAAAGCUGUCAAGGUAAGAAACAUCUGCCUAGUUGAGGUGAUUGACAGUACAAUUACAUUUUCUAAGUAACUUGCCCAACACUGUCAGCACCGACUUCGCCUCAGGCAACAUCGCAACAAGUGAGUAAAUCGGAAGUGAACUGAACAAACCCUGCGAUAUUCAGUAAAUGGCAUGAUGUGCUGCUGUCUGCUUUUCUCUGUGAUAUAAUUUUACAAAAUAUGUAGCAAAUUAAAAGAGCCUUCAUAUUUCAUAUUUAUAGCAAUUAAAAUCAGUGUGCUUACCGUAUCAGUGUGAACUGUGUGCUUGCUUCUGGCUGGUGAGAAGUUCAAUGUCUGGUUGCAGUCUAGUGGUAGCCAGUCUCAAGGUCUGAUGCAAGUGUUUAUCUGUGAGUCCGAGAGACUCCUUAGCUAAUGCUCAACCCUCAAAAUACGAUAUAAUUAAUUAUGGUAGGUUUAUCAAAAGUACUUUAGUUAUCAAACCACACCCACUGUCCGGUUGAGAUUCCUUCACGGUGUGACAUUAUUUCCUGUUUUAUUCGACUCUCGUGUCGCUAGGUUGUUUUCACUUGCUGCUCUGGUGUGUUUCUCCCCCUCUGGGAUUGUCUGCCGUGUCCCUGAUUGUUUUCUCCUCUGUCCAAGCAGCUGUACCUUCCCGGUGCAUUUAAACCAUGCGUGUCCCUUGUCUUCUGGCCGGUUCCUUACUCGCGUUAUUGACAAAUUGUCUCAAACAAUCUUUUUCACAAACUUUUAAAGGGAUUGAUGCUUAUUUAGUUAUGAUUAUUUAUGUGGGUGAAAUGUCACAUUUUCAAAAGGGCUUUAAGAGGAGGAGACUUUUGCUCCUCUUAUUUGGAUAUGGUUUUAAGUUUAAUUUGAAAGAUUCCACAACUCAUUAAGGAAACGUCUGUCCUUAUCCAUGUUUUGCCAGCUGUCGGCAUAAUAGUGAGGUCUUAGAAGUAUUCUAGAAAAAAGCCUUCAAUUAAUGUCAGUAAUUUAAAAGACACACACAUUCAGAAUGUCCCUCAUGCAGGACAGACAAACCAGUUAUGCUUGAGUUAAAGAUAGGAAGCCCAGUAGACCAGAGCUUGUGACUUCAUUAGUUGGGAGGCGACUUCCUUACGCUUGACAAGCACAUCUUAUGUCGUCCCUGCAUUUUCAUGAAAUAAAUGAAGGCACUAAUAGGAAGAGGCGUUCCCUGACUUUCCUCUGCAGUCUAAUUUGUCUUUGACUGUGUCCUUCAAAAAAAGUUUCUGGAAGUGCUUGUUCGAUCUGCUUUUACACUCUGCAUGAAUCAGUCUGCUCCAUUAGAUUAUAAGCCUGCAAUACUGUGGGCCCCAAGAUUGUCUGACCCCACACAAUGAAAACAGCCAUUCAAACUUUUUUCCCCAACAUGGCAAUAAAUAGUCCUUGUUGUUCGAUUAUCAACGUGUGCUGGAAGGUCUAUGACCGUCAUCCCCAUCAACGCGUAGCCCUUUUACAGGCAAUGGAGGAGGCAUGUGGGAAUAUUGACCAGGCAUCAUGUCAGGGCUGGAUACGGC